UUAAGACUAACGACAAAUAAUAACAAAUAAAUAAACAUAAUAAAAAUAAAUAGGAAAGAGACUUGGGCCCAAAUCCGGUUUUUCUGUUCACCUGGGCCGGUAUCUGGGCCCUUUUCGUUUUUGGCCUUAGGCCCAUUCGAAUUGCACCUGUCCUAAACUAAAAUAAAAUAAUUAUCCUGUCUUUGGGGCCUAAGGCCCAAUUUUUCACCUGUCCUAAAAUUCUAAUAGAAUAAUAACAAAAUUAAAUAACAAGAGCUUAUGCUCAAAACAACAAAAUACAAUUAAAAUAUAAAUAAACGAUCAAAAGUGGGCUUUUGGCCCAGUCUUUCAAUUCCCGACUUCUUGCACAUCCUUUCCGCUUCGGGACCUGUUCGUCGGAUUUAGUGGCUGGCUGACUCGAAUGAAGGAGUUUGAGUCUUUACGACUCUCUCGAAAUGCAAGAGGAGGAAGGAGUCCAUGAGGACCCAGAGACGGAUUUCAUGCAAAGCGAUAAACAAAUAACAAAAUUAGCAUUUUUGGGGAGGAAACAAAAUGAUGAAAAAUAAUAACAAUAAUAAAUAAAUAAAUAAAAUAACUUUAGUCAAUCAUCAUUAACAACACAACAAUCACACGAUAACUUAAAGGAAAAUUAAUGAAGACUUAUUAUUAUAUUUUUAUUUUAUCCUUUUAUUUCAUUUUUAUUUUUUAUAGUUUUUAAAUUUUAUUUUAUUUUUCCAUAAGUGACGAGUAGUGAUCAAGUGUCAAGUUUUGGAGCCAAGGUCAUAC
This 765-nucleotide long non-coding RNA is filed under the name Solanum tuberosum (potato). RNAcentral's name for it is "long non-coding RNA (STUB_LNC007583)". The record is from RNAcentral. Lineage: Eukaryota; Viridiplantae; Streptophyta; Magnoliopsida; Solanales; Solanaceae.